RNAcentral lists this unclassified non-coding RNA (339 nucleotides) under uncultured fungus. Its description in RNAcentral is "partial contains small subunit ribosomal RNA, internal transcribed spacer 1, and 5.8S ribosomal RNA". The stretch from base 1 to 73 matches the Rfam family "Eukaryotic small subunit ribosomal RNA", at positions 1759 to 1831 of the family's 1831-position model. Lineage: Eukaryota; Fungi. The record is from RNAcentral.
GCAAACUUGGUCAUUUAGAGGAAGUAAAAGUCGUAACAAGGUAUCUGUAGGUGAACCUGCAGAUGGAUCAUUUCGAUGAAAACCUUUUUUCUGAGGUGUGGCUCGCACCUGUCUAACUAAACUUGAGCUACCUUUUUAACACGGUUGCAUCGGUUGGGCUGUCGAAUAGCGCGAAAGCGGUAAGCGAUGGUCUGACAAUCAAUUUAACACUUUUGAUGAUCUAGGAUUUGAAGGAAGUUCAUUUUUACGAUGGAACCGACUGGUAAUGCGGUCGUCUAAAUCUAAAAAACAACUUUUGGCAACGGAUCUCUUGGUUCUCCCAUCAAUGAAGAACGCAGC